UUAGAUUUGAGAAGGGUCAGUGCUAUCCGGGAUCAUUGGGAAGUCCCUACAUCAUUGAAGUGGACAUUUAAAACGGUUAAUGGUAAGGUUAAGGUGAGGGUUUAGUGUAGGGACGUCCCAAGGACCCCGGAUAGCAUUGGCCGUUUGAGAAGUGCGCUCCUCUCACUGCUUUUGCCGGUUCACUGUAACGGGCCAUAGACCUGUGCACCGCAUAUCAGGUUAAUAGAACGGCCUCAAAAGCGAUUAAGGAAAGUUUCCAACCGUGUCACGGCGGUCAAAGCACCUAUUUCCCCUAAAACCUUUGUCGCGUUAAAAAAAAAAAAGGCAAUUCGGAUGCAUCCGUCUUCAGUGCGUCCACGACAACUGGGAACUCGGAAAGAAAUAGCUCCGACUGAGUAAAAUCGUUUUGAACGGUCAUCCAAAGAAAAUCACUGACGUCAUGAUUUGACCACGUUUUGUACGAGUUACCAGUUGACUUGAAAGCACCAUACAUUCUCGGAGCUACACUAGAGGACACGGUUAUCGGUAAUAUUACAGCAACAAAGCCAUCCGGACGCGUGGAGGCAAACUGAGAAUGACUACCACAUGAGCGAGAAUACCGGGGAGAGGCUCAUUUAACGCAUCCAAAGCAGAUCACUCAGGGGAUGAGGGCUCUUUGGCGCAGUCCGUGAGAGAUGAGGUGAAAGCUGGAUUAGUUAAAUAAGGACCCUCGGUAAAUCUUACGGAGAAACAGGGGACAGUAGCGGGGCUAACCUCUGCGGACAAACCGGAGGAGGACAGUGAAUGCCGAUUCGUGGGGAAGAUAACGGAUCCGGUGGCAGCGGACAGGAGGACAGUUUGGGAGGAGGGGAUCCACGCUGCUGAAGUUAGGAUCCACGCUGGCGCGCACGAGGAAAAUGUGAAAUCUGGCAUGUCUGGCCAACAGUGCUGUAACUCAAAUCCUGCCUCAGCGCCGGUGGACAUUCCAUGAAGUGACUUUGGUCACCUACAGUUCCCUGAGGGGUGGUCUUUUCUCUUAGCAGAUAUGGAAGAAGUGGACGCAGAAUAUGCGCCCAUGAAAUACGCCCCCAGGAUGCUGCGGACCAGACAGAUGGAGAUGAUGAAGAGCUGGAGAAGGAACAGAGGGUGCAACGGGAGCAGCUGGCAGCCAUCUUCCAGCUGCUGAAGGAGAACCAGGAGAUGUUUGGGGAGAUGUCAGAGGGAGACAUGGAGGAGCAACUCUACUCCAUCUAAACCCCUAGUCUACUCACAGUCGACUGUACUACGUCUAACUCUACUUUUCCCAAACUCUACUCUAUGUUAAUCCCACAUAAAACUGACAAUCAAGACCAAGGUGCAUUCACACGGUCCACUGGGUUUCAAAGGGGGUGUUGUUUCAAAGGUCCACUCUAUUUUGAGGCACAUACUCUUCUCUAAAGAUUCUGAGGUGAUAGCUAAUCAGGCUUUGGAUAGUUGGGCCUGAGUGAUUUGAUUGGUCUGGUAAAAUCUGAGGUUCUUAUACCGUAGACACCCAUGAAAGCCAACAGUUUCAGCAAGCCUCACAUCAAACACUUAUCUGGACAGAUCUUACUCCUUUCAGCUAUUCCUUGCCUUGCCUCGGCCGUAUCCUUAUCUCACCCUUUCCUAUGGAGCACCCUUUCCCUCUAGACCCCUCUGUUUGAACAAACACAUCAUUGGUGCGAACACAAACAUGUACGUUAGAUACUUC
Molecule: long non-coding RNA, 1708 nt
Filed under: Salmo salar (Atlantic salmon)
Lineage: Eukaryota; Metazoa; Chordata; Actinopteri; Salmoniformes; Salmonidae
Description: lncRNA (ENSSSAG00000064099.2)
Source: RNAcentral